Lolium rigidum is the source of this 90-nucleotide small nucleolar RNA. RefSeq annotates it as small nucleolar RNA Z266. The record is from RefSeq and is a predicted model, not a curated record. The transcript has a single exon. NCBI's taxonomy places the organism in Eukaryota, Viridiplantae, Streptophyta, Magnoliopsida, Poales, Poaceae.
GAUUGGUGGGAAGAUGAUUCAAUUAGAUGCGCGAAGUUCACCUUAUGAGCUAAACUUUUUGAGGCAUAUAUUCUGGCUUAUCCACCGAUC